AUUGAACGCCGGCGGUAGGCCUAACACAUGCAAGUCGAACGGCAGCACAGAGGAGCUUGCUCCUUGGGUGGCGAGUGGCGGACGGGUGAGGAAUACAUCGGAAUCUACUUUUUCGUGGGGGAUAACGUAGGGAAACUUACGCUAAUACCGCAUACGACCUACGGGUGAAAGCAGGGGACCUUCGGGCCUUGCGCGAUUGAAUGAGCCGAUGUCGGAUUAGCUAGUUGGCGGGGUAAAGGCCCACCAAGGCGACGAUCCGUAGCUGGUCUGAGAGGAUGAUCAGCCACACUGGAACUGAGACACGGUCCAGACUCCUACGGGAGGCAGCAGUGGGGAAUAUUGGACAAUGGGCGCAAGCCUGAUCCAGCCAUACCGCGUGGGUGAAGAAGGCCUUCGGGUUGUAAAGCCCUUUUGUUGGGAAAGAAAUCCAGCCGGCUAAUACCUGGUUGGGAUGACGG
Molecule: ribosomal RNA, 458 nt
Filed under: uncultured Lysobacterales bacterium
Lineage: Bacteria; Pseudomonadati; Pseudomonadota; Gammaproteobacteria; Lysobacterales
Description: bacterial SSU rRNA
Rfam family: Bacterial small subunit ribosomal RNA
Source: RNAcentral